Molecule: ribosomal RNA, 749 nt
Filed under: uncultured archaeon
Lineage: Archaea
Description: bacterial SSU rRNA
Rfam family: Archaeal small subunit ribosomal RNA
Source: RNAcentral
UUCCGGUUGAUCCUGCCGGAGGCCACUGCUAUGGGUGUUGUGCUAAGUCAUGCAAGUCAACGCACCGCCAAUGUUGGUGCGUGGCGCAAAGCUGAGUAACGCGUAGAAAAUCUGGCCUACGGUCNUGAAUAACCAGGGGAAACUCUGGCUAAUCCACGAUAACCGCUCUAUGUUGGAAUACUUAGGCGGUCAAAGGCUCUCGGGCACGGCCGAGUCCGCCGUAGGAUGAUUCUGCGUCCCAUUAGGUUGUUGGUGGGGUAACGGCCCACCAAGCCAAGGAUGGGUACGGGUCGUUGGCGCGAUGACCCGCAGAUGGAUCCUGAGACAAUGAUCCAGGGGCUAUGGCNNGCAGCAGGCGAGAAAACUGGCCAAUGCACGAAAGUGNGAGCCGGCAACACCCAGUCGCAGGGGCAACUCUGCGUUUUCUACAGCGUGAAAUGCNGUNGCAACCGUGCAAACACCGCACAGGCACACGAUACAUCGGAGCAGACCAGAUAAAACCCGAAACCGCUCCCAUGCACGAAAACCUGUAGGAAUAAGGAGGGGGCAAGAAGCGGUGCCAUGCCGCCGCGGUAAGACCGUCCCUUCGAGUGGUNGCCACGAUCUAUGGGCUUAAAGCAUCCGUAGGCGGGUCNGUCCGUCCCACAUUAAAGCNGACGNUUCAAGCGUCUGAACUGUGUGGGAAACUGUCGACCUUGGCNAUGGGAAAGGUGUAACGUACCGCUAGAGUAUGGGUGAAAUCUUAUANU